AUUGAACGCUGGCGGCAGGCCUAACACAUGCAAGUCGAACGAGUGGCGGACGGGUGAGUAAUGUCUGGGAAACUGGCUGAUGGAGGGGGAUAACUACUGGAAACGGUAGCUAAUACCGCAUACCAUCGGAUGUGCCCAGGUGGGAUUAGGUAGUAGGUGGGGUAACGGCUCACCAAGGCGACGAUCCCUAGCUGGUCUGAGAGGAUGACCAGCCACACUGGAACUGAGACACGGCCCAGACUCCUACGGGAGGCAGCAGUGGGGAAUAUUGCACAAUGGGCGAAAGCCUGAUGCAGCCAUGCCGCGUGAAUGAAGAAGGCCUUCGGGUUGUAAAGUACUUUCGGCAAGGAGGCGUUACCCACAGAAGAAGCACCGGCUAACUACGUGCCAGCAGCCGCGGUAAUAC
This 406-nucleotide ribosomal RNA is filed under the name uncultured bacterium. RNAcentral's name for it is "partial 16S ribosomal RNA". It matches the Rfam family "Bacterial small subunit ribosomal RNA", at positions 30 to 526 of the family's 1533-position model. The record is from RNAcentral.